This 472-nucleotide ribosomal RNA is filed under the name Loma wallae. RNAcentral's name for it is "SSU rRNA". It matches the Rfam family "Microsporidia small subunit ribosomal RNA", at positions 838 to 1304 of the family's 1311-position model. Lineage: Eukaryota; Fungi; Microsporidia; Glugeidae. The record is from RNAcentral.
CGCGGGACAACUUACCGGGCCCGACGACCGUAAGAGUGUGACACACGAUAGGUCGAAGAGUGGUGCAUGGCCGUUAACGACGAGUGGAGUGAUCUUUGGGUUAAGUCCGUAAAUUAGUGAGACCUCAGCCGUAAGGGACAGGUGCGCAAAGCACAGGAAGGAUGGGUCAAGGACAGGUCAGUGAUGCCCUUAGAUGGUCCGGGCUGCACGCGCACUACAGUGGUCGCCGAAAUUAGCUGAUAAUUUUAAAGGCGAUCGAGAGGGAAUGAGCUUUGUAAGAGGCUCAGGAACGAGGAAUUGCUAGUAAUCGCGGACUCAUUAAGACGCGAUGAAUACGUCCCUGUUCUUUGUACACACCGCCCGUCGUUAUCGAAGAUGAAGACAGGCGCGAACGAUCUACCAGAAAGUGAGCGCAGGUCUUUAGAUCUGAUACAAGUCGUAACAAGGUAGCUGUAGGUGAACCUGUAGCUGG